This is a non-coding RNA of Caretta caretta (loggerhead turtle), 3892 nucleotides long. NCBI's taxonomy places the organism in Eukaryota, Metazoa, Chordata, Testudines, Cheloniidae. The record is from RefSeq and is a predicted model, not a curated record.
UGGCAGACUGUGACCAUUCCCCUAUUCUGCAGUUCUUCACCUUGCUGCCACUCUCAACUGCUGUUGUACCUUCAGGAUCCAAUAUUCCAUGUGUCUCGUAAAGGGGCCUUCACUUUCAAAAUUCUUUUCCUGUUUCACUAGCUUAGAUCCAGAAAAGAUUGUCACACAGUGGGUCAAUGUUGUGCUCUUUUUAAUAAGCUGACUCUUACCUUCACAAUACUUCCAGCCCACUCACUUUGGGGAGCCAGAGUUUAAGCCUGACAUUAGAACUCCACUCUCAUGCUCGAGGACUUGGCUCAUUGCAUUAUAAUUAUUUUUUUCUUUUCCCACAGGUUCUCAUUAACUGAGACAUGGGUUCCCAAAGCUGUGACAGCAAAGUUCCCAUCACUGUUAUGAAUGGUCCCACAAACAAUUGCCCCUUGCUCUUUCCCUGUCUGUGCUUCGUUUCCAGGAGCUUUUUCAUGGUAGAGCCUCAACAUGAGCUGUCUUCACCAAGACCCCGGAGAUACUGAUGAGUGUAUUCUCCAAAGGCAUGAAUGUGACCCUCAUGACCUUUGGAGAGUUGGAUACCAGGAAGUGGCACUUUCUGACUGGUGACAGGAGUGACCCUCUAUCUCUCUGACUAUCGAUUACCUCUUUGGGGAGCUGUUGACUGAGAAGAGAUUAGCAGCUGCAUCUCCAUAAAUAGCCUAAUCCAGUCUGGUGCUAGCUGAAAAUUGUGGAUCUUCCUGGAGCAGAGAAACUCCCACCCCACAGGUUCUCAGUGAGGUUAAGAGAGAAGCCUCUGCUGAAGAAGUCCCUGGUGGCUUUCUACUGGGUUGUCAAUCAGCUGGCAGGUUCCCCAUAUCCAAAUUGAAUGAUCAACUACAGCUAUACUAAGGAUUCCCAGCCUCUACCCUUGGACUCGCCCAUCCACUCCCUGCAGCCUGAUGAUUCAGUGCUCGUACGUACCUGGAAAGACGAGCCGCUCCAGGAAAAGUGGAAGGGACCCUAUACCGUUCUGCUGGUCUCCCACACGGCAGCAAAGUCAUUGCUUACUCAGUACUGGGCAAAGAUCCUGGCCCUUCAGCACCGACUGUAUGAACAGAUGGAUCUUAGGAGUGCCAUGGAGAGUGAGAGCAUAGGCACCCUCCGAGAACAGGUCCAGUGCCUCACCAAUGAAAACGUGCAGCUGCAGGAUAGGAACGAAAGACUGUACACAAAGCUUGGAGAACUGCAGGAGAAGAUGGGGAAUCUGGCUGGUUCCAAAACGGAUUUGUCAUCCAGAUUGGUCUUCAGCGAGGAGGAGAAACUUAAGAUUUCUAAGGACCUCAUUGAUCUCCAGAUCGAGACAAACAAAAUGAGAGAGCAGUAUGAGGCAGAGAACUUUGAACUGAAAAAUAUGAUCCUGACCCUGGAGAACCGUAUUCUGGAGUUGGAGCUCCAUGAUGAGAAGGUCACUGGAAAGCAUGAUGCCCUACAGGAACGCCUGCACACUGUGGAGACCAAUCGCAAAGAGCUGGCUGAUGAGUACAUCAUUCUGAAAAGCAAUUAUAUGGCCCUGGGCAAAGAACAUGAACAGGAGGUUGCUAAGAACAAAGAGUUGAGCAUGGAGCUACUAAACCUGGUCAACACCAGGAGCUCCCUUCCUCAGUCAUGGAGUAACUACUCCCCAUCCCAAGCCCUGGCCAAUGAAACCUUGGCCGAGCUGGAAAGGGUUCGGGCUGUGGUCCACCGCCUCUCUGCCCGGAAAGUGAAGCCAGAAGAUAUAGUUGCCUCUGAACAUGAACGUCGAAAACUGGAGAGAAAUUUGCUUGGAAACCAGGAUCACAGAAAAGCUGAGAUUGAAAAAAUGAAGCAAACGUAUGACUCUCAGCAACAGAAGCUGGAACAGAGAGUGGUGGCAAUGGGGAAGGAGCUGCAGCAGGCCAAAAGAGUGAUUCGCAAUACUCAGCACAAACUGGUGGAGCAGUCAGCGGUGCUGCUCACCUCUCAGAGCCAGCUCAAGGAGGUGGAGGUUGAGAAUUCCCAACUGCAGCUUCAGCUGAAGGAGCUGAAUGAGGAAUAUCGCUGUCGUCUUACUCAGUACAUCAAGGACCUGGUGGAAUAUAUGGACAGCAAAUCAAAUGCUUCUAAGGGGCCCAACAAAGUACCAGCUGACCAUGCUUACAUGAAGUGCUUUGUGGAUGGCAUGCUGAAGGACAUCCGGGCUGCCCAUAAAUCUCGGGAGGAGCAGCUGGCUGGAGCUGUGCGCGGUUACAAGAAGCGUAUGCAGAACCUCAUCAAAACACAUGAAAACCUGCUGAUUGCUUAUAGGAUGCAGCGUGAGCAGAUCCAGUCUCAGGGUGGCAGCAAGAUAGACCCAGGCCCUCCUGAGUUCCAUUUCACCAUCACAGAUUCUGAGCUACUGACAAGCACAACCCAGGAGCUAAACCAGCUGCGAGAGGACAAAGCAAAACUAGAGACACAGCUGCAUGAACUGCAGGAGAAGAAAAGACUGCGUGAAAGCUCUGCACUAGGACCAUCUCUUCACCACAAGCUGGAUGAGGUGGGCUGGGCAGAGAUCAGAAAGCAGCUCCAGGAGUUCACACAUACCACGCAGGAGGAUCUGGAGAGGGAGAGAAGCCAGCUGCUGACUCAGGCAAUUGUGGCAGAAGAGCAGGUGCUGGAGCUGCAGGAAUAUGUAGAUAAGCAUCUUGCAAGGUAUGGAAGAUGAAUUUUCAUAUCUGGUUCAAGCCUUACACAGCACUGCUGCUCUGUUCAAUGCUCUGCAGCCCAAAGAAGGACAGACAAAAGGAAAAGCAGGUAUAUUUUGCAAUGGGCUGUGACAACCUAUCACUUUAAGGUUGUCACAGAAGCUGCUCCUUCCUUCACUGUGAUGGCAAAGAGAGAAUUCAGACCUCCUGCUCCAAAAACACAAGCCCUUGACCACUUGUGCUGAAGCUUUCCUCAGGAAUACCAGGUAUGAUACCAGACUAGAUGGACCAGAGAUACACCUGCCAACAUCAAAAAGCUACAAAUGGGAACAUCUGGGGAGAAAAAAACAGAGACAAGGCCUUUCUUUUCCUUGAAAUGCAUUGGACUGGGAGAGCUUUUUGGUGGGACUAAGAAGAACAAUGAUCAAUAUAUCUAGCUAAAAAUACCCUCCCUCCUAUAUAUAGAGGUUGGCAUGACUGAGCACUUUGUAAAUGGAUCAGUAGAGGCACUGCUUUGAUCUGGAGCAGCAAAUCCUACGUGAUGAUGUGGGGAUCUGUCUAUGUACAAUGUAUGAAUUAUGAGUGAGAUUAUGAACUCUCUGUAUGGCUCUGUGCCAGGCUGCAAACUCCAUUUUGGAUGGUUUGCUGCAUUCGCUGUUGUCCUUUCAUCUCCAUGUUGGACUGAAAUUUCAAGGUAUGGGGGCCUGGGUCUAACAUUGGAGGGUUGUUAAAUCUUGAUCAUCUUCUAUUCAAACAGAAGUACCCUUGGACAUAGAGCUGCCGCUGCCCAGAAGAACCAGUCUGGGCUGGUAACCAAGCAACAGAUCACCUGGUGAGGGAUUUUGAUCACCUGCUGAGAGUGAACAGAACGUCGCUUGACAAAGGGGGUGUAUGGUUAUAGAUUAGAGGGUCCCUCAGCAGCCAUUGUAAGGAGCACAAGUGACCACAAGCAGAAGCAGUGGAAGCCUGGGCAGGAGAGUAGAAGGGGACUGACAAUAGAGGUCAGAGAAAGAGAGAUAUGGCAUGAUUCGGAAUAGAAGCCAUGUGCUGCAGGGGGGUCCUAGACUGCUCGGAGGGCUCUGCCAAAGCUCAGAGCACUCUCCAGAAUGGUGAGGAAAUUGAGGCAGGGAAAGGUAUGUAGAUGUUUUUAUUAUUUUGUGUAGAUCUGUGUAUUUCUUGUUCUACUUAAGUAAAGAGUAUUGUUGUUUAGAAUCCUA